GUGAGGAAUAUUGGACAAUGGGCGCAAGCCUGAUCCAGCCAUGCCGCGUGCAGGAAGACGCAUCUAUGGUGUGUAAACUGCUUUUGUACGGGAAGAAACACUCCCUCGUGAGGGAGCUUGACGGUACCGUAAGAAUAAGGAUCGGCUAACUCCGUGCCAGCAGCCGCGGUAAUACGGAGGAUCCAAGCGUUAUCCGGAAUCAUUGGGUUUAAAGGGUCCGUAGGCGGUUUAAUAAGUCAGUGGUGAAAGCCCAUCGCUCAACGAUGGAACGGCCAUUGAUACUGUUAGACUUGAAUUACAAGGAAGUAACUAGAAUAUGUAGUGUAGCGGUAAAAUGCUUAGAUAUUACAUGGAAUACCAAUUGCGAAGGCAGGUUACUACUUGUGGAUUGACGCUGAUGGACGAAAGCGUGGGGAGCGAACAGGAUUAGAUACCCGUGUAGUCC
Molecule: ribosomal RNA, 445 nt
Filed under: uncultured bacterium
Lineage: Bacteria
Description: partial 16S ribosomal RNA
Rfam family: Bacterial small subunit ribosomal RNA
Source: RNAcentral